This 486-nucleotide ribosomal RNA is filed under the name uncultured bacterium. RNAcentral describes it as "bacterial SSU rRNA". It matches the Rfam family "Bacterial small subunit ribosomal RNA", at positions 29 to 517 of the family's 1533-position model. The record is from RNAcentral.
AUUGAACGCUGGCGGAAUGCUUUACACAUGCAAGUCGAACGGCAGCACGGGGCAACCUGGUGGCGAGUGGCGAACGGGUGAGUAAUAUAUCGGAACGUGCCCAAUCGUGGGGGGAUAACGUAGCGAAAGUUACGCUAAUACCGCAUACGAUCUACGGAUGAAAGCGGGGGAUCGCAAGGCCUCGCGCGAAUGGAGCGGCCGAUAUCAGAUUAGGUAGUUGGUGGGGUAAAGGCUCACCAAGCCAACGAUCUGUAGCUGGUCUGAGAGGACGACCAGCCACACUGGAACUGAGACACGGUCCAGACUCCUACGGGAGGCAGCAGUGGGGAAUUUUGGACAAUGGGCGCAAGCCUGACGCAGCAACGCCGCGUGUGUGACGAAGGCCCUUGGGUUGUAAAGCACUGUGGGCAGGGAAGAAAAACGGGGUUGUACCCGUCUUGACGGUACCUGUUUAGAAAGCACCGGCUAACUCCGUGCCAGCAGCCG